Non-coding RNA from Picea glauca (white spruce), 47 nucleotides. NCBI's taxonomy places the organism in Eukaryota, Viridiplantae, Streptophyta, Pinopsida, Pinales, Pinaceae. The record is from Rfam.
AGAUAGGAUCUUCUAAGAUCCUCAGAAAAUUCUCUACAAAUGCUUAU